Molecule: ribosomal RNA, 493 nt
Filed under: uncultured bacterium
Lineage: Bacteria
Description: partial 16S ribosomal RNA
Rfam family: Bacterial small subunit ribosomal RNA
Source: RNAcentral
AUUGAACGCUGGCGGCAUGCUUUACACAUGCAAGUCGAACGGUAACAGGUUAAGCUGACGAGUGGCGAACGGGUGAGUAAUGCAUCGGAACGUGCCCGAUCGUGGGGGAUAACGCAGCGAAAGCUGCGCUAAUACCGCAUACGAUCUGAGGAUGAAAGCGGGGGACCGUAAGGCCUCGCGCGAUCGGAGCGGCCGAUGUCAGAUUAGGUAGUUGGUGGGGUAAAGGCUCACCAAGCCAACGAUCUGUAGCUGGUCUGAGAGGACGACCGGCCACACUGGGACUGAGACACGGCCCAUACUCCUACGGGAGGCAGCAGUGGGGAAUUUUGGACAAUGGGCGAAAGCCUGAUCCAGCAAUGCCGCGUGCAGGAAGAAGGCCUUCGGGUUGUAAACUGCUUUUGUACGGAGCGAAAAGGCUCUCUCUAAUACAGGGGGCUCAUGACGGUACCGUAAGAAUAAGCACCGGCUAACUACGUGCCAGCCGCCGCAGUAA